This 295-nucleotide signal recognition particle RNA is filed under the name Callithrix jacchus (white-tufted-ear marmoset). Its description in RNAcentral is "Metazoan signal recognition particle RNA (ENSCJAG00000080256.1)". It matches the Rfam family "Metazoan signal recognition particle RNA". From Rfam's summary of the family: The signal recognition particle (SRP) is a universally conserved ribonucleoprotein. It is involved in the co-translational targeting of proteins to membranes. The eukaryotic SRP consists of a 300-nucleotide 7S RNA and six proteins: SRPs 72, 68, 54, 19, 14, and 9. Lineage: Eukaryota; Metazoa; Chordata; Mammalia; Primates; Cebidae. The record is from Rfam by way of RNAcentral.
GCCGGGCAUGGUGGCGCGUGCCUGUAGUCCCAGCUACUCAGGAAGCUGAGGCAGGAGAAUUGCUUGUGCCCGGGAGGCGGAGGUUGCGGUGAGCCGAGAUCUCAAAAAAAAAAAAAAAAGGGAAUAUAUAUCUUUAUGUACUGAUAUGGAAAGAUAUCUAAGAUGUAUCAAAUUUUGCUUUUUUUUUUUUUUUUUUGAGAAGGAGUCUUGCUCUGUCACACAGAUGAGUGCAAUGGCGCGAUCUCAGCUCACCGCAACCUCCGCCUCCCGGGCACAAGCAAUUCUCCUGCCUCAG